CCCUUAGAUGUUCUGGGCCGCACGCGCGCUACACUGACGAAUGCAACGAGCUUAUAACCUUGGCCGAAAGGUCUGGGUAAUCUCCAAAUUUCGUCGUGAUGGGGAUAGAUUAUUGCAAUUAUUAAUCUUCAACGAGGAAUGCCUAGUAAGCGCAAGUCAUCAGCUUGCGUUGAUUACGUCCCUGCCCUUUGUACACACCGCCCGUCGCUCCUACCGAUUGAAUGGUCCGGUGAAGCGUUCGGACCGUGGCCUUUGGACGGGUCGCCGUCUGUUGGCUGCGGGAAGUUCGUUAAACCUUAUCAUUUAGAGGAAGGAGAAGUCGUAACA
RNAcentral lists this ribosomal RNA (327 nucleotides) under uncultured eukaryote. RNAcentral describes it as "partial 18S ribosomal RNA". It matches the Rfam family "Eukaryotic small subunit ribosomal RNA", at positions 1470 to 1796 of the family's 1831-position model. The record is from RNAcentral.